AACCCGGAUAUAUAAUCGGCCCCUAUAUAUUCUGCAUGCAUUGAGGGGGCCCCCACCCCACCCCAGGACCCGGUACAGACGUGGAACCUGUUUCAAACAGCUGCUGCUUGAAGGGAAAAAAGAAGCAAAUGAUACCAAGAGAAGCCCAUAACAGAGAUCUAUUCACCAGAUGUGCACGGAUGAAAAUACAGUGAGAUGAGUCAGAAAGCGGUUAAGGAGGGCCCCAGACUCUCCAAGAACCAGAAGUUCUCCGAGCACUUCAGCAUACAUUGCUGCCCGCCGUUCACCUUCCUCAAUUCCAAACGUGAGAUCGUGGACCGCAAGUACAGCAUCUGUAAAAGCGGCUGCUUCUACCAGAAGAAAGAGGAGGACUGGAUCUGCUGCGCCUGCCAGAAGACCAGAACCAGCCGCCGCGCACCGUCCCCUCAGAGGCCCAAGCGCCAGCCAGCUGCACCCCCCGCGGUGGUCAGAGCGCCAGCCAAGCCACGGUCCCCUCCGAGGCCCGAACGCCAGCCACGCCCCCGCCCAGAAGUCCGACCUCCACCGGCCAAGCAGCGGCCCCCUCAGAAGGCCAAGCAGCAGCCGCGCAGCAGCCCCCAGAGAGGGCCAGGCACCAGCCGUGGGGGGUCCCCCGUCAAAGCUUCUAGGUUCUGGUAACACCAUCUCUUCCCUUUUGCUCCCCCCAGCCCUCAGAUUGAAAAGGAGGACCAAGCCGACCCCUCGGAAGAAGUGAUGGAGGACUUUCAGGUGAACGGUUGGCCUCAGCUCCUGGACUCACUGCUUCUCGACGCACGUGCCCUGGGACAGGUCACCCGGCUUUGAAUAUGACGCAGGGGCCGCCACCUGCUGAUGUGGCCACAGCCGAUGCCCACAGUCCCCGUGGGGCGGGCGCCGCCGGGCAGCCUGCCUGGAGCAUUUUGAAAAUACUGUCCUGUGGUCUGUUGACCUCUAUAAUUGCCAAUGAGAAAUAUGCGGUCCUUCCAUUGACUCAAGUUUCUCUCAAUCUGAAGACAUGUAUCUUUCUUCAGGGAUGUGUAAUAAAACCACAAGAUAUUGUUGUACAACCACGGUAAAGGCAAAAAGAAAAAUUAUCAGUUGUUGGCCAGGAUGUGGGAAAAAUUCAAGCCACCGUUGAGAAUUUAUAAAUUAUCACAACACUUCUGGGGUGCAAUCUGGGGGUACCAGCAAAAUAAGAUUCUGUAUAGCCUAUGAUCAAGUGAUUAUGAUAUUAGGCACCAAUCCUGAGAAAACUUGCGUUCAUAGAAAAAGGAGAUACAGGUACAUCUGUUCAGCGAAGCAUUGCUUGCCAUUGGGGGGCAGGGAGAGAAAGAAAUUAAUCAAAAUGUCCAUCAAUAGGAGAAUCAGUAAUGGGAUCUCCAAUAAAUAAAUCCUGGACAGCAGUUAAAUGAAUCAGGUAUUCUCACACCAGGUAGAUAAAUUUGGAAGACAAAAUGAGGAAUAUAAAAAAUAGAUGGUAAAUGGAGUGAUGCCUUAUGUAUAGAUUUUAACCACCCACAAAGCAAUAAUUGUCCAAUAUGCAGAAACAGUAAGACCGCUCACUCUCUACAGUGCAACAGAAUUUUUUUAAAAAGAGAGAGAGAGAGAGACAACAGAAUAAAAGGCAAUCCAAGAAAUAUCUAUCCUCAUGGAAACCAAAAAGAAGAUUUGAAAUAAUUCCUGGCUUGAAGAAAUAACAGAAAUUAAACGCUGCAUAGAAGUGGUCAAUAGUACUAGCCAGACACAAAUGUGCUUGGGGAGGUAAGGGAGACAAAUGACCAACCUGGGGGUCUCUCCAGGCUUAAAAGUCUUAGAGAACAAAGAUACUUGUUUGGAGUCCAUUUUUUUAAAAUCUGAGUUGAACUGUGGUUUCUGACAGGGGAAAAGGGGAAGCGUUAGAAUAUACUCCUCCCUCCCAAGCUUCCCUUGGUGACAGGCAGGAAGGCACAGUAGAAGAUAAUGGAACGUAGUAGAAUGUGGAGGGAUGUCAAAUGGGCAGCAUUAAGUGGAGGGAAGCUCAGAGCAAGGAGGGCGAGGGUACGUGGGCCUGCAUGGCACUGGGGGCUGGGACGGCCAAGCACGAAUGCCUGAAGUACCAACAAGGCCACAGACCCGUGUCCCUGAGUGGGCACAGCCAGGCGGAGCCAGGCUUGAGCGGCACGUGAGGAGCUGGAGGAACGAUGCCAGGGGACGCCCUGCUUGAGGUGGCGGCUGGGUGAGAGGGAGUGCUGGGAGCCGGGAGGAAGCAUGCGAGACUCAGAUGGGCUUAGCUCCGAACGCCAUCCUCCCGGAGAGUGGAAGUUGGCCAAGUACUGUCCCAAGGCAGCUGGAAGGACAGAGUGCCCUGGCUUCCUCACGUAGGGAGGUCCCUUCUCGGUGAAAGUGGUGAUGUUAAUAACAGGCAGGGAGUCGAAUGACACAGAGCUUUCAGAUAGACAUGCUUCCUGCCUACAUUCAGGUGCUAAAUGACCAACCAAAUGAGAACCUCUAAUGAACAGUUUCCAGCAAUGAGAACGCCGAGUCAUUACACUCCUGGGAGUAACGCCCGGGGUGCCGUGACAGAUGCCAGAAAGAGCGCAUUAGUGGGCCAGCCCCACUCAGACCCGGGGAGGAAACUUCAUGUUCUUUUAGCUUGUUGUAGAUCUUGCAAAGCCAGACCCCAUGCUCCAAGCUUGCUGGGUUCUACCCUCCAUGUCAUCCAGGAGAUACAACAGGGUUACUACAGAAUGUGACACUGAGCAGAGAGCAUGGUGUGUAUUAAUUCAUGUAAGAAACUGUAUAUCAGCACAGAAAUGUUAAUAACUAGAAAUGACUGGAUUCUCUAUGUUGUCUGUUGUGGACACAAAGGCCACUGGGAGGUGGAUCAAAAAUAUCUGGAAAUUACUUGAAACUGAUGAAUAACUAAACAGAAUUAUAACUAAAAUGUACCAUAAUCCAACUGUAUUUUUUUGUCUUUUAACGAUUGGUUCUGCGGCGCCCUAUGCAGUGAACAUUACAAAAAUCACACGAAACUCCAAAAGCUACUCUAGGUAAAUUUCUUGAGUGGGAAUUCCCAGCUGUAAUGUUUGGCAUAUUAUUCUAAUAGUUCUGUAUGUUAACUGAUUUUGUUUUGACAUUUUGACUGGUUUUGGGAAAACUGUGGUGUGUAUCUGGAAUUGUCUUGAGACAUGCUUAAACUGUGAUUCUCUGGGUGGAAAGUCCUGGUUGAUAGUGUUUGCCAAUUUCCAUGCUGUAAAUACUUCCAUUAUGGCUGACUGCAGGCUACAAAUGUGGUAUCACUGAGUGCAGAAUUGGGAAGAGGUGCACAACGUUGAUCCUUGUGAGUUGGUAUAGGACACUGUAUAUACUUGUGGCCCUGUGUAAAACUACAUUUUUUUACUAAAAAUAUUGCCCCAUAAAUAUACAAAGGCAUUAGUGAAAGGAAAAAUAAAUUCCAACUGGGAGCUCAAACAGAGAAAACUGGCAGAAGAUUUUUUGAAAAACUUUGUCUAUAGUCUACAUUUUAUUAUUAUCUUUUAUUAAGCAUCUAUGUGUUACCCUGAGUGUUCUGAACUCUUAGUUUCUUUGGUGUUCCCCUGGAUAGAGGCUAGGGUUCCCUCUCCUUUCAGAUAUUGGUGCUAAGACGAUGCUGACCGAAGAAUCGAUGGGACCUACUCAUCGUGAAGCCAUUUUCAGGAGGGCCGAGCUGAUGGUGGAGGCAGAAGAGAAGACACAGAGCCUCCUGAGUUUGGGGAGGCGAUGCUAAUAUUUAGACGUAUGGUUUGGUAUGAUCAUGUAUUACUUUUAAAAAAUUAAUGCUCAUGAAAACAAGAAAAACCAGUUGUUCAAAAAUUGAAAAACAAUGGAAUAAUAAACUCUUCUAUUAGAGUAAGCCAAGAAGAAAUUUAUUAAACUUGAGAUGAAUCGGAAAUUUCAA
This is an RNA transcript of Capra hircus (goat), 3913 nucleotides long. It is a transcript of the gene named myelin-associated oligodendrocyte basic protein, with no coding region annotated. The record is from RefSeq and is a predicted model, not a curated record. The transcript has 7 exons. Lineage: Eukaryota; Metazoa; Chordata; Mammalia; Artiodactyla; Bovidae.